Molecule: small nucleolar RNA, 75 nt
Organism: Rosa rugosa (rugosa rose)
Lineage: Eukaryota; Viridiplantae; Streptophyta; Magnoliopsida; Rosales; Rosaceae
Product: small nucleolar RNA Z159/U59
Exons: 1
Source: RefSeq, a predicted model, not a curated record
GCCCCUGAUGAUGAUUGAAACAUUUCUACUGAGAUCUCCAUGCGGAAAAUUUUUGGAGACCUGAACUGAAGGGAC